Molecule: non-coding RNA, 949 nt
Organism: Dermatophagoides farinae (American house dust mite)
Lineage: Eukaryota; Metazoa; Arthropoda; Arachnida; Sarcoptiformes; Pyroglyphidae
Source: RefSeq, a predicted model, not a curated record
UUUUUCUUCGAUAGAAUCAUCCAAAUGUAAUCAUCGUAAUCAUUUGAAUCUGAUCUUGUUCCGUUAGUGAGAAAAAAACACACAGAAAACUUGUUUCUCUUUUUUUUCUCUGCUUUUCUAUGAAUAAAGAAAAAAAAUUGGAUCCAAUACAAGACAAGACAAAAAACGAAAAUGAAAAAUAAGUUGAUCAUUCGCCCACCAUGUGUAUUCAAAGACAAAAAAAGGCGUGUAGCGGCGGCAAAAUCAUCAUCAUGGUGCCCGUUUAACUUUCGUCUUAUCUCCUUCGACGUUAGUCAUUAUUGUAGUUUUAAGUUGCAAAGUUUCAUUUCAUUUUGUAUGCACAAAUCAUUCGCAUAUUGUAUCAAAAAAAAGUCAUGUCAUUAUAAUCGAAUCGUAUUUGGUGCCCACCAUCAUCACCACCAACAUCACAUUGAACCAUCAAAAUUGUUGUUAUUGUUUGUCGUCAAGUUGCUAUAAUUACCCGGUGUUUGUCUUUGUUUUGCAACCGAUUGUAUACCAAUGUGUUGUGGUCGGUCGGUAUAAUUAGAAGAAAAAAAAACCGUUAUUGUCAAUAAUAAUCUUUCUAUUUCUAUUCCAAUUGAAAUUUGGCUCACUCACUCAUUCUAGUCACAAUUUCCGUGAACUAAAAUAAAAUAAUGUACAUCAUUUUGAUUGAUUUUAGUAUUUUUUUUCGACAAAAAUAAAAACAAAAUCAUCCUUUAAAAGAAUUCGAAAUAUUAAAACCAUCAUCAUCAUCAUCAUCAUCAACCUGUCAUAUUUAUAAUUCCAACGAAACAAAAGAUCCAAUGAUUGACAUCUAAUCCACAUCUAUCCGAUCCGGUCAUUGUUCAACGAAUAAAAAAAACAACAACAAUAUUUCUGAGAUCAAGCCGUUAAAUACGAUAAAUUUAACGACAACAGUAACAACAACAAAGUGAUCAUAUGGCCA